GUUAAAGAUGACAGAGAUUAUACCAGAAACCCUCACUUUAUAAUCAGAACUUUUUAUUCAAACUUUUGAAAUAAGAAAUUUCUAUAAUGCCCCAGGGUUACUACAGAUAAAAUAAGAUAUGUUUCAAUAUUUUAUAAAACCAAAACUAUUGAAGAUAUUGACAGUUAUGAUACAUGGGUUCAUAUGAAAACUCUGGAAGUGUUAUUGGCCAUACAAAGAAUGAUGUCAGUAAGAGAUUUCUGUUGCAUGACUGGCAGUACAAGAUGAUGGUUGCAAAUGCUGUUGAGAAAGUUUAUGGCAUGUUGGAAUUGAUCAAAAUUAAAUUUUGUUUCUGUUAUUCAAUAGCAUUUUCAGACAUGUUUUGGGAAAGCACCUCCAAAUAGAUAAUCCAUUUAUGAUUGAUAUCAGAAAUUCAAAUCCACAGCAUGUUUGUGCAAAGGUAAGAGUUCUGGAAGAUCACCAAUUACUGAGGAAGAAGUGGUGUGUGUUUGGGCCACUUAUGCAUGGACUAGGAAAUCCACCAUGAGGGAGAGUUUGAAGUUAGGAAGUCCACAACAAACUAUGAAAAUCUUGUGUAGGUAGCUAAAAAUCAAGCUAUAUAGCACAAACUUUAUAUCACUAUGAGGUACAUAAGAGAAUCUCAAAUAUUCGAGCUACAAUCAAAUUCUUUCUGUAUCAGUGGGAGUCAUAUCAGUUUCUUUCAGGUAAUUUUAACAAUGGUUUCAAGAAACUUGUUCAUUAUAUAUUUCGCAUGCAUUUAUUUCUUAUAAAUGUGGACUAUUAUUUAAAAUAUUUGUAAUUUGUUCAUUUAUUGUAUUUUUUAAAAUAUUUUUUGUUUCAUAUUA
Molecule: long non-coding RNA, 845 nt
Filed under: Androctonus crassicauda
Lineage: Eukaryota; Metazoa; Arthropoda; Arachnida; Scorpiones; Buthidae
Source: RNAcentral